Roseobacter sp. GAI101 is the source of this 89-nucleotide non-coding RNA. The record is from Rfam. Lineage: Bacteria; Pseudomonadati; Pseudomonadota; Alphaproteobacteria; Rhodobacterales; Roseobacteraceae.
UCACCUUACCAGGGGCGCUGAAAAGCUGAGAUGUACCCUUUGAACCUGAACCAGAUAAUGCUGGCGGAGGGAGGUCGUAUGUCUUGUAU